Molecule: ribosomal RNA, 368 nt
Filed under: uncultured Alphaproteobacteria bacterium
Lineage: Bacteria; Pseudomonadati; Pseudomonadota; Alphaproteobacteria
Description: bacterial SSU rRNA
Rfam family: Bacterial small subunit ribosomal RNA
Source: RNAcentral
CUACGGGGGGCAGCAGUGGGGAAUCUUAGACAAUGGGGGAAACCCUGAUCUAGCCAUGCCGCGUGAUCGAUGAAGGCCUUAGGGUUGUAAAGAUCUUUCAGUUGGGAAGAUAAUGACGGUACCAACAGAAGAAGCCCCGGCUAACUCCGUGCCAGCAGCCGCGGUAAUACGGAGGGGGCUAGCGUUAUUCGGAAUUACUGGGCGUAAAGCGCACGUAGGCGGACUGGAAAGUUAGAGGUGAAAUCCCAGGGCUCAACCUUGGAACUGCCUUUAAAACUAUCAGUCUAGAGAUCGAGAGAGGUGAGUGGAAUUCCGAGUGUAGAGGUGAAAUUCGUAGAUAUUCGGAGGAACACCAGUGGCGAAGGCGG